RNAcentral lists this ribosomal RNA (219 nucleotides) under uncultured bacterium. Its description in RNAcentral is "partial 16S ribosomal RNA". It matches the Rfam family "Bacterial small subunit ribosomal RNA", at positions 116 to 334 of the family's 1533-position model. The record is from RNAcentral.
CGUACGCAACUUACCCAGAACUGAUGAAUAGCCCUCCGAAAGGAGGAUUAAUACAUCGUAACACUAUGAGGUGGCAUCACCUUACAGUUAUAGUCUCCGGCGGUUCUGGAUGGGCGUGCGGCCCAUUAGGUAGUUGGCAGGGUAACGGCCUACCAAGCCUGCGAUCAGUAACUGGUGUGAGAGCACGACCAGUCACACGGGCACUGAGACACGGCCCAG